Molecule: long non-coding RNA, 1100 nt
Organism: Cannabis sativa
Lineage: Eukaryota; Viridiplantae; Streptophyta; Magnoliopsida; Rosales; Cannabaceae
Exons: 3
Source: RefSeq, a predicted model, not a curated record
AUAUAUGAGACCUAUUCCCACUAGCUAUGUGUAAAUGAGAUGAGAAGGGAAUUUAUAAAAAAUUUAUUUGUUUUACUCUACACGUGGAUACUAGGUGGAGGACAUGAUUGGAAAAGUUUAAAGAUUUAGCCAUAGAAUUGUGUGAGGACUUAGGUUCGGCUCAACUAAAACCCAUUUUCAUGGAAUAGUAUCAACUCUUUUGACCGAGUAAUAAGGUGGGAUUGAGGGGUUUAGUUAUUUAUUUAAAUACUUGUUAUGUGAAGCACGGUUAGUGCUGGAGUUAGUGGGUAAGAGACCUAGGCCUAUAAAUAGAGAGCUUUUGCUCACUUAUUCAUUUCACUCAAAUAGUCAAAUAGCUAUCCGGUAUAUUCUUCUUCCAUUUUCCUCUACACUGAAGUGAUUUUAUUCUAUCUUUUACAGUCAAACACUUGUUUCUCCAAGAGCCAAAUAGUCCUACACACCAUCAUAAUUACUAGAAGCUUUAAACAUCAACAACCUCUCUUAAACAUCACCAUCAUUCUUCCAUACAUUUAUAUAUUUCCUUCAUCAUAUCGGCAUCACCAUUACCACUAUUUUCACAUUCAAAUUUUAGUGCUCUGCUAGUUUUCUUUGGAAAUUAAGGUUUUUCGUAAGACAAUUAUUUCUCAAGAAUCACUCUCUUUGCAAUCAAGGCUAGGACUCCACAUUCGAGAUUAAGGUUCUAAAACUUAGAGAGCUGGUGGCAAGUGAGACCUUGGAGGCUUGUGUGUGUGUACUCGCUGAGGACCAUAUAACUGAGGGUGGUCUAGGGCACGCUCCAUUUAUUUUAUUUAGUGUUAUUAAAUUAAUGUCGCAGUUAUUUUUAUUUAUUAAUUAUUAUGUCUUUUAAGUCCAAACUGAGCUCAAAUAUGAAAUAUUUUAUGUUUAUAAGUAAAAGCGACAUUAUAGUUUUUCCGCAUUUUAACGCUUGUAACUAAAUUAGUAAUUUAUGAAAAAGUUCGGGCGUUACAGACCAAACCCUAUUUUGGUCAUUGUAGACUGUUUUUCUUCAUUUUUUUUUCCUUCAAAACUUGGCCCUUACGCUCCCACUUUAGCUGCAUGUGAUGCAUAUUAAUUGGAGU